Molecule: ribosomal RNA, 459 nt
Filed under: uncultured bacterium
Lineage: Bacteria
Description: partial 16S ribosomal RNA
Rfam family: Bacterial small subunit ribosomal RNA
Source: RNAcentral
CUACGGGCCGCUGCAGUAAGGAAUAUUGCGCAAUGGAGGCAACUCUGACGCAGCCACGCCGCGUGCAGGAAGAAGGCCUUAUGGGUCGUAAACUGCUUUUAUUUAGGAAUAAACCCCCGAACGUGUUCGGGGCUGAAGGUACUAAACGAAUAAGCACCGGCUAACUCCGUGCCAGCAGCCGCGGUAAUACGGAGGGUGCAAGCGUUAUCCGGAUUUAUUGGGGUUAAGGGGUGCGCAGGCGGGCUAUUAAGUCAGUGGUGAAAUCCCGGGGCUCAACUCCGGAACUGCCAUUGAUACUGAUAGUCUUGAGUUUGGUUGAAGUGGGCGGAAUGUAGCAUGUAGCGGUGAAAUGCAUAGAUAUGCUACAGAACACCAAUCGCGAAGGCAGCUCACUAAGCCAAAACUGACGCUCAUGCACGAAAGCGUGGGGAUCAAACAGGAUUAGAUACCCUAGUAGUC